RNAcentral lists this transfer RNA (86 nucleotides) under Felis catus (domestic cat). It matches the Rfam family "tRNA". Rfam says of the family: Transfer RNA (tRNA) molecules are approximately 80 nucleotides in length. The record is from Rfam by way of RNAcentral. Lineage: Eukaryota; Metazoa; Chordata; Mammalia; Carnivora; Felidae.
GCCUGGGUAGCUCAGUCGGUUAAGCAUCUGACUUCGGCUCAGGUCAUGAUCUCGCGGUUUGUGGGUUCGAGCCCCCGCAUUGGGCU